GACAAAGAGAAAUUUAUCAAUUAAAAAGCCAUUUAAACAAAAGACCAAUUUAUACAUUCUUUUGAAUUAUGUCCAUAAAAGAUUUAAAUAUACAAAUCACAACCCCAAACCCAAAAGAAUCUUUUUAAACAAAUGAAAUACAUAUAAUGACAAAUUCGGAAUCCAAUUCAAUGAUGGAGCAAUGGUACCAUAAUUUCUUUAAAUAAAUUCUAUUUACU
RNAcentral lists this long non-coding RNA (218 nucleotides) under Bos taurus (domestic cattle). RNAcentral's name for it is "long non-coding RNA NONBTAT018308". The record is from RNAcentral. Lineage: Eukaryota; Metazoa; Chordata; Mammalia; Artiodactyla; Bovidae.